Molecule: long non-coding RNA, 319 nt
Organism: Lutra lutra (Eurasian river otter)
Lineage: Eukaryota; Metazoa; Chordata; Mammalia; Carnivora; Mustelidae
Exons: 3
Source: RefSeq, a predicted model, not a curated record
GGCAGGAAGGGCAGAGUCUAGGUCCCAACAUGGGUGUAGGGUCCCAGCAGCUGCUGGCAGGACUGCAAAGGCAAGUGGGGGUUCUCGGGGAUCCCCACCCGUGGCCCCAGCAGCCACCUGCUCAGAGCCUCCUUGGCCGGGACACGGUGUUUUCCUGAGUGGGAAGCCGUGCCGGCUCCAGGAAAGGGAGAGCUGAUAUCUCGGACGAGUUGGGGCUUGACAACUCCCUUUGCUGGGCUGGAAGGUGCGGUGCUCCAGCCACACCCGGGUCCCCCGUCCUGUGCCCACCCAGUGCCCCUCGUGCCUCCCGGCCCCUGCC